This is a non-coding RNA of Oryctolagus cuniculus (rabbit), 752 nucleotides long. The record is from RefSeq and is a predicted model, not a curated record. Lineage: Eukaryota; Metazoa; Chordata; Mammalia; Lagomorpha; Leporidae.
UCUUGCUUCUAGUUCCUGGUACUCCGGCACCAGCAGGACCAUGGAGAUGAUGAAACAUUAAUAAGAAGACAAACUGCCAGUGUGUGAGUCUGUUUUCUGUUGCUAUAACAGAAUACCCAAGAGUGGGUGUUCUAUAAAGACUAGAAGUUUAUUGGACUCAUGAUUCUGGAGGCUGAAAGUUCAAGGGCCUGGGACUCCCAUCGGGCUGGCACUGGCGAGACUCUGCUUGCUGUAUUGUAACACGGCAAUGGACAUCACACGAAAGAACUUGCUUCCAGAGCUCCUGGGGAUUAAUUCAGAAAGCAGGGACGGAUCCUGUAACACAUAACAGGGAAGGUUCUGCCUGGAAGUGCUGCAACCAGUUAACACCAUUCCGUUGACUCGUGCACCUGCUGUCUGUUGGGAAGAAGAGAAUGUGGAAAAAGGAGAAGAAGAGAGUGCGGACGGUGGUCAUGAAAUGUGACUGGAAGAGGGUCUGUGGUGCUGUACGGAGAAGGAGAUGAUAGACAGUCUGAGGUGGAAGACUUGUAACAGAGAGCCAAACACUUGGUUGACAUGGCUUUGCUACUUUAGAUUGCCCCUCUCCUGCUUCCAUAGAAAUGUGACUCUUAGCUGGACACAUAGCUGUCAGAAAAAUUAAAAAAAAAAAGUUGCACUUCCCAUCCUCCCUGGCAGUUAGGUGUGAACACAGGACUAUUUAUGACCAAUGGGUGGAAGUAAUAUGUGGAACUCCCAGGUUGUUCUCUUGGGAG